UACGUAGGGCGCAAGCGUUGUCCGGAAUUAUUGGGCGUAAAGAGCUCGUAGGCGGUCUGUCGCGUCUGCUGUGAAAAUCCAGGGCUCAACCCUGGACCUGCAGUGGGUACGGGCAGACUAGAGUGCGGUAGGGGAGAUCGGAAUUCCUGGUGUAGCGGUGAAAUGCGCAGAUAUCGGGAGGAACACCGAUGGCGAAGGCAGCACUCUGGGCCGGUACUGACGCUGAGGAGCGAAAGCGUGGGGAGCAAACAGG
RNAcentral lists this ribosomal RNA (253 nucleotides) under uncultured bacterium. RNAcentral's name for it is "partial 16S ribosomal RNA". It matches the Rfam family "Bacterial small subunit ribosomal RNA", at positions 524 to 776 of the family's 1533-position model. The record is from RNAcentral.